RNAcentral lists this ribosomal RNA (253 nucleotides) under uncultured bacterium. RNAcentral's name for it is "partial 16S ribosomal RNA". It matches the Rfam family "Bacterial small subunit ribosomal RNA", at positions 524 to 776 of the family's 1533-position model. The record is from RNAcentral.
UACAGAGGUGGCAAGCGUUGUUCGGAAUUACUGGGCGUAAAGAGCUCGUAGGCGGCCUGUCGCGUCGGAUGUGAAAACUCGGGGCUUAACCCCGAGCCUGCAUUCGAUACGGGCAGGCUAGAGUUCGGCAGGGGAGACUGGAAUUCCUGGUGUAGCGGUGAAAUGCGCAGAUAUCAGGAGGAACACCGGUGGCGAAGGCGGGUCUCUGGGCCGAUACUGACGCUGAGGAGCGAAAGCGUGGGGAGCGAACAGG